This 459-nucleotide ribosomal RNA is filed under the name Arthrobacter humicola. RNAcentral's name for it is "bacterial SSU rRNA". It matches the Rfam family "Bacterial small subunit ribosomal RNA", at positions 386 to 857 of the family's 1533-position model. Lineage: Bacteria; Bacillati; Actinomycetota; Actinomycetes; Micrococcales; Micrococcaceae. The record is from RNAcentral.
CUGCAGCCCCGCCCCCUGGAGGAUAACGGCCUUCGGGUUGUAAACCUCUUUCAGUAGGGAAGAAGCGAAAGUGACGGUACCUGCAGAAGAAGCGCCGGCUAACUACGUGCCAGCAGCCGCGGUAAUACGUAGGGCGCAAGCGUUAUCCGGAAUUAUUGGGCGAAAGAGCUCGUAGGCGGUUUGUCGCGUCUGCCGUGAAAGUCCGGGGCUCAACCCGGAUCUGCGGUGGGUACGGGCAGACUAGAGUGAUGUAGGGGAGACUGGAAUUCCUGGUGUAGCGGUGAAAUGCGCAGAUAUCAGGAGGAACACCGAUGGCGAAGGCAGGUCUCUGGGCAUUAACUGACGCUGAGGAGCGAAAGCAUGGGGAGCGAACAGGAUUAGAUACCCUGGUAGUCCAAGCCGUAAACGUUGGGCACUAGGUGUGGGGACCAUUCCACGUUUUCCGCGCCGUAGCUAACG